AAAAAAAUAAUUUUCCACACUUUGGCUUCAGGGGAUAGUGGAGUGGGGGCUGUGGGAGCACGUGGGAGCGAGAGCGGUAGACAGAGAGAGAGAGAGAGAGAGAGAGACCCAGAGAAACAGAGAGAGCGAGAAUCAGCUAUUUAGAGGAGCCUUGCCAUGUCAGAAAGCAAGGGUGAGGAGAACAUGCUCAUUACGGAAAAGGAGACAGACACAGCUGGGUUGUCCAAGGCCCCGUGCUUGGAGCUGCGAACGGCCAUGGAGAAAUGCAUUGCAGAUAAAGGUGAAGAGAAAUGUAAAGAAGCAACUCAGGCCUACAAAAGCUGCAUGAAAGCCUUAGGACUUAAAGUUUAACAAUAGCUGACUGCUCCUCCCCAACAUGGACAUCUUGGCCGACCAUCAUCACUUGAAGAUUCAGCCAAUGUGCAACAGAGAUCCACUGAAGGUGCUGACCAACCGAAUCCUUUAUAGAACCUCUGAUGAAGUCUCAGCCAAUCAGUAUUGGCUCUAGCCCAGGAUCAAACUAUCAGCCAAUACACUCUUGUUUUGUUGUGAACUAACGUUGCUUGGGUAAAUAUUUUUUAAAAUUAUAAAAGUAUUAAAACACUGCAGCAAUUCAA
Hemiscyllium ocellatum (epaulette shark) is the source of this 617-nucleotide long non-coding RNA. RefSeq lists it as uncharacterized. Lineage: Eukaryota; Metazoa; Chordata; Chondrichthyes; Orectolobiformes; Hemiscylliidae. The transcript has 3 exons. The record is from RefSeq and is a predicted model, not a curated record.